GCCAGCAUGGGCUAGUGGUUUGAGCGUUGGACUGUGACUCUGGAGACCAGCGUUCAAUUCCCUGCUUGGCC
This is a non-coding RNA of Phrynosoma platyrhinos (Desert horned lizard), 71 nucleotides long. The record is from the annotation of a GenBank genome assembly. Lineage: Eukaryota; Metazoa; Chordata; Lepidosauria; Squamata; Phrynosomatidae.